UCACCCACCUCCGCCUCCCGAGUGCUGGGAUUCCCGGCACCACGGAUGCAGGAAAAUCAAAUGUUUAGGACACGUUUUACUUAUGUCUCUGUAUGUACCGGGUACAGCACCCACAGGGGCCAGAACACAGCGCCAGAGCCCCCGGAGCUGCAGUUUCAAGAGGCUGUGCACCGCCACGCGUGUGCUGAACUCGGUCCUCCUCACAAGCGGCCAGUGCUGUGACCCGCUGAGCCAGUUCUCCGGCCCCUCCCCGUGACAUUGUUGACGUCCGUGCGUUCCCCAGCCUCCACUGGUUCUUCAUUCCUUUUCCUGCCUGUAUACUAUUCCCUCGGGUGCUUCUAGCUCUUGAAUAUACAACAUGCACAGAAGUAGUGAUGCGCCUCAGUUCGCAGAGUGCUUACUCAGCAUGGACGAGGCCCCAGGUUCCAGCACCGCGAAUACCGAGCUUUGAGCCAUCUCAGCACUUGGGGACGUGGAGGCACCACGCUCAUACGUGCGAGUUUUCAUCACCAGCCGGCGGCACUGUGGGUGGAGAAUUGCAUCAUGGGUGCGCCCUCUGACGUCAGCAGUUACUGCAUUGGUGACCUCAGGGCUCGAGGGACCGUUAGGGGCCGGGCUUAGCGCAGGUGACGUCACAGCGCAUUGUGUAUUCCUAGUCUAUGGGUACCAGGCCCAGCACUUAGCAUCCAGCACCCACCUACAACUGUGGAUUCGACGCCCACCAUCUAUCCACACAUUACCGAGCACUCAGCACCCACCCAUGACUGCUGCAAGACACAGCACCCAGCACCCACGCAUAACAACGAGACCCAGUACUCAGCACCCACCAGUGAGCACACAGUGCCAAACACUGAGGACCGACCCACGGCUGCGAGACUCAGCACUCAGCACCCACCCAGGACUGCUGCAGGAGCCAGCACCUUCCUGGGACCGCAGGACUCAGCCUUCAGCACCCACUCAUGCCUUCUGCCAGAGCCAGCACCCACCGACGACUGCGGUACUCAGCACCCAGCACCCACCGAGGACUGCUGCAGGAGGCAGCACCCUCCGAAGACCGUGGGACUUAGCCCUCAGUACCCACUCAUGCCUUCUACCAGAGCCAGCACCCACCCACGACUGCGGUACUCAGCACCCAGCACCCACCGAGGACUGCUGUAGGACAUAGCACCCUCCUAAGACCGCGGGACUUAGCCCUCAGUCCCACUCAUGCCUUCUGCAGGGUCCAGUAUCCACCCAUGACCAGGGGCUCAGCACCCAGCACCCGCCGCCAGCACUCCGGAGCGCCCGCCCCUCCGCCCAGCGAGCACCCGCGAUUCGGGAGCCGCGAUGACCGUGCUCGGCCGCUGGGUGGCGGGAGCCGACAAGGAUCCACCGCACCACCUCCCGGAAGCCGAGCUGCGGGCGCGGACCGGGCUGCGGGGUCACGGGGUUGUGUCUCGCGGGACAUGGGACUGUGUCAACCAAGCCUUCAAACCCGCAGCACCCUGCUGUUUCACCCAGACCCGGAGGGCUGGAGGUCAGGUAGGGUGCUGGGUGCUGGGUGCUGCGAAGGCCACGGGGAACCGGAAACCGUGUCCGAGGGGAAGUUGAAACCGUCUCUCGCAAGGGAACCUGGAAUGCAGCCGCCUAGGGAUACCGAGUCCUGACGUCACGCAAAGCUGCCCUGACGUCACGCAAAGCCGUCCUGGGUCCUGUUUUUUUCCCCGGCGUGAAUUCUGACGUCGCUGAGACUCAGUCACGGGGUCGAGAGGGCGAUCGGGCUCAUGCUGAGCCACUGACGUCUGUGGUGCAGUCCAGAGCACAGAGUGCUUGCAGCUCGGAAACCAAGUCUCCAGUACCUGAUCACCGAGGUCUAGUGCAGUCAGCACUGACUCCCAGCAGCCGGCACAGUCCGGUACUGAGCACCCGGCCGCUUUUCCCAGGAGAAACAUCUGCCCCUCCUUGCCCCACGCUGACGUCAUCGGCGCCCCCUGGCUUCCCCACGCUGACGUCAUAAUGGAAAGCCCUGAGGCGACCUUGGGCAAAGUGGCAGCAGUGAGGACUCCCAGAAUGCUCCUCGGCCUCCCUGACCCCUGGCAGAGGGCCCGGGGGACCCCGCGGCCGGAAGUGGAGCCCCCAGCGGGUCCCUCCUUCCGCCUGGAAAAGGCCACCCUGGAGAAGCCGCUGCUCAUUUGCAUGCCUCUCAUUUGCAUAUUGCUCAUUUCAAUAUUUCCCCUUAAAUGCUGCUCAUUUAAGUCUCUCUGGUUUGAAUAUUGAUUUCCUGCGUCCCGGAACCCCUGGCAGAGGGCCCGGGGGACCCCGAGGCCGGAAGUGGUGCCCCCAGCGGGUCCCUCCUUCCGCCUGGCAAAGGCCACACUCCAGAAACCGCUGCUCAUUUAACCGUUGCUCAUUUAAAUACCGUGGUUUAAACACCCCUAAUCCGAAUACUGAUUUCCUGCCUCCCUGACCCGGGCACAGGGGGACCCCGUGACCGGAAGUGGGUCCCCCACUGAGGCCCUUCUUCCCCGAGAAAAUCCACGUGUGAGCAAUCGCUGCUCGUGCGAAGGCCGCCAGUUUAAACGUUUCUAGUCUGCGCGUUAACAGCGGUCCUGUGGAAUUUGACCGCCGCUCAUUUACAUACGGAGGAUUUAAAUAUUGAUCACCGAUAUUGGUCAUUUAAACUUCUCUAAUGGGCCUAUUGCUGACUUAACUGUCAGUGCACACCGUAGUUCUAAUCUGAAUAGCCAUCAUUUAAAUUCCGCCCAUUGCAAUGCUGCUAAUUUAAAUGCCCCUAAUUAGUAAAUUAAUCCUAAUUUGCAUAUUCCCUAUUACCCCUGACUGCACGAUCGCUGAUCUGCGCGUUGCUGAUUAAACAUCGAUGAUCUAAGGGUCUUUAUUUAAA
This is a long non-coding RNA of Nannospalax galili (Upper Galilee mountains blind mole rat), 2881 nucleotides long. RefSeq lists it as uncharacterized. The record is from RefSeq and is a predicted model, not a curated record. Lineage: Eukaryota; Metazoa; Chordata; Mammalia; Rodentia; Spalacidae. The transcript has 2 exons.